RNAcentral lists this transfer RNA (89 nucleotides) under Limimonas halophila. Its description in RNAcentral is "Rhodospirillaceae bacterium Ia16 tRNA". It matches the Rfam family "tRNA". From Rfam's summary of the family: Transfer RNA (tRNA) molecules are approximately 80 nucleotides in length. The record is from Rfam by way of RNAcentral. Lineage: Bacteria; Pseudomonadati; Pseudomonadota; Alphaproteobacteria; Rhodospirillales; Rhodovibrionaceae.
GGAGAGGUGGCCGAGCGGUCGAAGGCGCUCCCCUGCUAAGGGAGUAACCGGGUAAUACCGGUUCGAGGGUUCGAAUCCCUCCCUCUCCG